GACGAACGCUGGCGGCGUGCCUAACACAUGCAAGUCGAACGGAAAGGCCCUGCUUUUGUGGGGUGCUCGAGUGGCGAACGGGUGAGUAACACGUGAGUAACCUGCCCUUGACUUUGGGAUAACUUCAGGAAACUGGGGCUAAUACCGGAUAGGAGCUCCUGCUGCAUGGUGGGGGUUGGAAAGUUUCGGCGGUUGGGGAUGGACUCGCGGCUUAUCAGCUUGUUGGUGGGGUAGUGGCUUACCAAGGCUUUGACGGGUAGCCGGCCUGAGAGGGUGACCGGCCACAUUGGGACUGAGAUACGGCCCAGACUCCUACGGGAGGCAGCAGUGGGGAAUAUUGCACAAUGGGCGGAAGCCUGAUGCAGCAACGCCGCGUGCGGGAUGACGGCCUUCGGGUUGUAAACCGCUUUCGCCUUUGACGAAGCGUGAGUGACGGUAAUGGGUAAAGAAGCACCGGCUAACUACGUG
This 468-nucleotide ribosomal RNA is filed under the name uncultured bacterium. RNAcentral describes it as "partial 16S ribosomal RNA". It matches the Rfam family "Bacterial small subunit ribosomal RNA", at positions 28 to 507 of the family's 1533-position model. The record is from RNAcentral.